UGUGUAGGCGGUUGGAUAAGUGUGGUGUGAAAUCUCCCGGCUUAACUGGGAGGGUGCGCUACAAACUGUCUGACUAGAGUGUGGGAUGGGAGAGUGGAAUUCCUGGUGUAGCGGUGAAAUGCGUAGAUAUCAGGAGGAACACCGGUGGUGUAGACGGCUCUCUGGACCAUAACUGACGCUGAGACACGAAAGCGUGGGUAGCAAACAGGAUUAGAUACCCUGGUAGUCCACGCCCUAAACGAUGCAUAUUUGGUGUGGGUCAUUCAUUUGAUCCGUGCCGGAGCUAACGCGUUAAAUAUGCCGCCUGGGGAGUACAGUCGCAAGGCUGAA
This 330-nucleotide ribosomal RNA is filed under the name uncultured bacterium. Its description in RNAcentral is "bacterial SSU rRNA". It matches the Rfam family "Bacterial small subunit ribosomal RNA", at positions 568 to 898 of the family's 1533-position model. The record is from RNAcentral.